Long non-coding RNA from Amblyraja radiata (thorny skate), 643 nucleotides. RefSeq lists it as uncharacterized. The transcript is spliced from 3 exons. Lineage: Eukaryota; Metazoa; Chordata; Chondrichthyes; Rajiformes; Rajidae. The record is from RefSeq and is a predicted model, not a curated record.
GAAGCGCCGAGCACCAAAGGUCCUGUAGCUCCUGCAGGAUCUUCGCCCAGCACCGCAGCAACUUUUACACCAGCCUGUCCCACUGAGUUACUCCAGCUCUGUGUGUCUAUCUUUAGUAUUAACUCUCGUCUGUUCUUCUCCAGACGUUUCUCCGUUUGCUUCAGACCCAAGUGCUUUCGGUUUAUAUGUAGUGUAUUAUGAGCGGUGCCCUAUCCAAGCAAGCCCGAGGCUGCUGCAGUCCUCCAACCAUCGCUUUCCAUGGACAUGUGGAUCGACAAGCAAACCACGUCCUCUCCACUGUACAGUAGGGAGACUAUGAAACUGGAAAAUGAAUAAACACCCAAAACAUCUCUGCUAACAGACAGCAGCAAUGAAAACAAAACUGACUGAAGAAUAUUGUGAAGAACAAUUUAAUUUUUUUUCUGAAGUAUAGUCUUCCAACAUCAGGAGCAAUGGAAGUAACAUGGAAACCAUAGUUUCAUUCUUUUGCAAAAGGAUGCAAAAUACAUUGUUAUUUGUAUUGUUUUGAAGUUAUUAACUUCAGUAAGAGCUACUGGAGCUCAUUUUGACUGGCAUGAUAGACCGUAUUGGGAUGAUAUGUAUGAAGGGAAACUGUAAAAUAGAACCAUCAUGAUCUGACCCA